GUCGAGCGGUAGCACAGGAGAGCUUGCUCUCUGGGUGACGAGCGGCGGACGGGUGAGUAAUGUCUGGGAAACUGCCUGAUGGAGGGGGAUAACUACUGGAAACGGUAGCUAAUACCGCAUGACCUCGCAAGUAGCAAAGUGGGGGACCUUCGGGCCUCACGCCAUCGGAUGUGCCCAGAUGGGAUUAGCUAGUAGGUGGGGUAAUGGCUCACCUAGGCGACGAUCCCUAGCUGGUCUGAGAGGAUGACCAGCCACACUGGAACUGAGACACGGUCCAGACUCCUACGGGAGGCAGCAGUGGGGAAUAUUGCACAAUGGGCGCAAGCCUGAUGCAGCCAUGCCGCGUGUGUGAAGAAGGCCUUAGGGUUGUAAAGCACUUUCAGCGAGGAGGAAGGGUUCAGUGUUAAUAGCACUGUGCAUUGACGUUACUCGCAGAAGAAGCACCGGCUAACUCCGUGCCAGCAGCCGCGGUAAUACGGAGGGUGCAAGCGUUAAUCGGAAUUACUGGGCGUAAAGCGCACGCAGGCGGUUUGUUAAGUCAGAUGUGAAAUCCCCGAGCUUAACUUGGGAACUGCAUUUGAAACUGGCAAGCUAGAGUCUUGUAGAGGGGGGUAGAAUUCCAGGUGUAGCGGUGAAAUGCGUAGAGAUCUGGAGGAAUACCGGUGGCGAAGGCGGCCCCCUGGACAAAGACUGACGCUCAGGUGCGAAAGCGUGGGGAGCAAACAGGAUUAGAUACCCCUUGGUAGUCCACGCUGUAAACGAUGUCGACUUGGAGGUUGUGCCCUUGAGGCGUGGCUUCCGGAGCUAACGCGUUAAGUCGACCGCCUGGGGAGUACGGCCGCAAGGUUAAAACUCAAAUGAAUUGACGGGGGCCCGCACAAGCGGUGGAGCAUGUGGUUUAAUUCGAUGCAACGCGAAGAACCUUACCUACUCUUGACAUCCAGAGAAUUCGCUAGAGAUAGCUUAGUGCCUUCGGGAACUCUGAGACAGGUGCUGCAUGGCUGUCGUCAGCUCGUGUUGUGAAAUGUUGGGUUAAGUCCCGCAACGAGCGCAACCCUUAUCCUUUGUUGCCAGCAAGUAAUGGUGGGAACUCAAAGGAGACUGCCGGUGAUAAACCGGAGGAAGGUGGGGAUGACGUCAAGUCAUCAUGGCCCUUACGAGUAGGGCUACACACGUGCUACAAUGGCAUAUACAAAGAGAAGCAAACUCGCGAGAGCAAGCGGACCUCAUAAAGUAUGUCGUAGUCCGGAUUGGAGUCUGCAACUCGACUCCAUGAAGUCGGAAUCGCUAGUAAUCGUAGAUCAGAAUGCUACGGUGAAUACGUUCCCGGGCCUUGUACACACCGCCCGUCACACCAUGGGAGUGGGUUGCAAAAGAAGUAGGUAGC
This 1387-nucleotide ribosomal RNA is filed under the name Rahnella sp. SN_25. RNAcentral describes it as "bacterial SSU rRNA". It matches the Rfam family "Bacterial small subunit ribosomal RNA", at positions 61 to 1434 of the family's 1533-position model. The record is from RNAcentral. Lineage: Bacteria; Pseudomonadati; Pseudomonadota; Gammaproteobacteria; Enterobacterales; Yersiniaceae.